RNAcentral lists this ribosomal RNA (497 nucleotides) under uncultured bacterium. RNAcentral's name for it is "partial 16S ribosomal RNA". It matches the Rfam family "Bacterial small subunit ribosomal RNA", at positions 28 to 507 of the family's 1533-position model. The record is from RNAcentral.
GAUGAACGCUGGCGGCGUGCCUAAUACAUGCAAGUCGAGCGAACAGACGAGGAGCUUGCUCCUCUGACGUUAUCGGCGGACGGGUGAGUAACACGUGGAUAACCUACCUAUAAGACUGGGAUAACUUCGGGAAACCGGAUCUAAUACCGGAUAAUAUAUUGAACCGCAUGGUUCAAUAGUGAAAGACGGUUUUGCUGUUACUUAUAGAUGGUUCCGCGCCCCAUUAGCUAGUUGGGAAGGUAACGGCUUACCAAGGCAACGAUGCGUAGCCCACCUGAGAGGGUGAUCGGCCACACUGGAACGGGAACACGGUCCAGACUCCUACGGGAGGCGGCAGUAGGGAAUCUUCCGCAAUGGGCGAAAGCCUGACGGAGCAACGCCGCGUGAGGGAUGAAGGUCUUCGGAUCGUAAGACUCUGUUAUUAGGGAAGAACAAAUGUGUAAGUAACUAUGCACGUCUUGACGGUACCUAAUCAGAAAGCCACGGCUAACUACGUG